GGAAUCUUGCGCAAUGGGCGAAAGCCUGACGCAGCAACGCCGCGUGCGGGAAGAAGGCUUUCGGGCUGUAAACCGCUUUCAGCAGGAACGAAAAUGACGGUACCUGCAGAAGAAGGAGCGGCCAACUAUGUGCCAGCAGCCGCGGUGAUACAUAGGCUUCAAGCGUUGUCCGGAUUUAUUGGGCGUAAAGAGUUCGUAGGCGGUCGAGUAAGUCGGGUGUGAAAAUUCUGGGCUCAACCCAGAGACGCCACCCGAUACUGCUUAACUUGAGUUCGAUAGGGGAGUGGGGAAUUCCUAGUGUAGCGGUGAAAUGCGCAGAUAUUAGGAGGAACACCGGUGGCGAAGGCGCCACUCUGGAUCGACACUGACGCUGAGGAACGAAAGCAUGGGUAGCAAACAGGAUUAGAUACCCUGGUAGUCCAUGCGGUAAACGGUGGGCACUAGGUGUGGGUUUCUAUUAACGAAAUCCGCGCCGUCGCUAACGCAUUAAGUGCCCCGCCUGGGGAGUACGGUCGCAAGACUAAAACUCAAAGGAAUUGACGG
RNAcentral lists this ribosomal RNA (543 nucleotides) under uncultured bacterium. RNAcentral describes it as "bacterial SSU rRNA". It matches the Rfam family "Bacterial small subunit ribosomal RNA", at positions 358 to 916 of the family's 1533-position model. The record is from RNAcentral.